This 386-nucleotide ribosomal RNA is filed under the name uncultured Acinetobacter sp. RNAcentral describes it as "bacterial SSU rRNA". It matches the Rfam family "Bacterial small subunit ribosomal RNA", at positions 958 to 1344 of the family's 1533-position model. The record is from RNAcentral. Lineage: Bacteria; Pseudomonadati; Pseudomonadota; Gammaproteobacteria; Moraxellales; Moraxellaceae.
AACGCGAAGAACCUUACCUGGUCUUGACAUAGUAAGAACUUUCCAGAGAUGGAUUGGUGCCUUCGGGAACUUACAUACAGGUGCUGCAUGGCUGUCGUCAGCUCGUGUCGUGAGAUGUUGGGUUAAGUCCCGCAACGAGCGCAACCCUUUUCCUUAUUUGCCAGCACUUUGGGUGGGAACUUUAAGGAUACUGCCAGUGACAAACUGGAGGAAGGCGGGGACGACGUCAAGUCAUCAUGGCCCUUACGACCAGGGCUACACACGUGCUACAAUGGUCGGUACAAAGGGUUGCUACCUAGCGAUAGGAUGCUAAUCUCAAAAAGCCGAUCGUAGUCCGGAUUGGAGUCUGCAACUCGACUCCAUGAAGUCGGAAUCGCUAGUAAUCG